CGUAGGGCGCAAGCGUUGUCCGGAAUUAUUGGGCGUAAAGAGCUCGUAGGCGGUUUGUCGCGUCUGCUGUGAAAGCCCCGGGGCUUAACCCCGGGUGUGCAGUGGGUACGGGGCAGACUAGAGUGCAGUAGGGGAGACUGGAAUUCCUGGUGUAGCGGUGGAAUGCGCAGAUAUCAGGAGGAACACCGAUGGCGAAGGCAGGUCUCUGGGCUGUUACUGACGCUGAGGAGCGAAAGCAUGGGAGCGAACAGGAUU
This 255-nucleotide ribosomal RNA is filed under the name uncultured bacterium. RNAcentral's name for it is "partial 16S ribosomal RNA". It matches the Rfam family "Bacterial small subunit ribosomal RNA", at positions 526 to 779 of the family's 1533-position model. The record is from RNAcentral.